AACGAACGCUGGCGGCAUGCCUAACACAUGCAAGUCGAACGAGACCUUCGGGUCUAGUGGCGCACGGGUGCGUAACGCGUGGGAACCUGCCCUUAGGUUCGGAAUAACUCCCCGAAAGGGGUGCUAAUACCGGAUAAUGUCUUCGGACCAAAGAUUUAUCGCCUUUGGAUGGGCCCGCGUUGGAUUAGCUAGUUGGUAGGGUAAAAGCCUACCAAGGCGACGAUCCAUAGCUGGUCUGAGAGGAUGAUCAGCUACACUGGGACUGAGACACGGCCCAGACUCCCACGGGAGGCAGCAGUGGGGAAUAUUGGACAAUGGGCGAAAGCCUGAUCCAGCAAGGCCGCGUGAGUGAUGAAGGCCGUAGGGUUGUAAAGCUCUUUUACCCGGGAUGAUAAUGACAGUACCGGGAGAAUAAGCUCCGGCUAACUCCGUG
Molecule: ribosomal RNA, 433 nt
Filed under: uncultured bacterium
Lineage: Bacteria
Description: partial 16S ribosomal RNA
Rfam family: Bacterial small subunit ribosomal RNA
Source: RNAcentral